CUCACCAGGUCAGGACACGGUAAGGAUUGACGGACUGAAGGCUCUUUCUCGAUUCCGUGGAAAGUGGUGCAUGGCCGUUUUUGGUUGGUGGAUCGAUCCGUCUGGUUAAUUCCGUUAACGAACGAGACCUCGGCACUCCGAAUAGCGCGGCGGACGUCGCGGCCUCCGGGCCGUCUUCCGCACGAGCUUCUUAGAGGGACCGUCCCCCGCCGGGGAAGGAGGUGCGAGGCAACGACAGGUCUGUGAUGCCCUUAGAUGUUCUGGGCCGCACGCGCAUUACACUGACGCGUCCAACGGGUGACUCCCGACCCGAAGGGGCCGGGGAAUCCGCAAGGCGCGUCGUGAUGGGGAUUGAACGUUGCAAUUGUUGUUCACGAACGAGGAAUUCCUAGUAGGCGCGGGUCAUCAACCCGCGCCGAUUACGU
RNAcentral lists this ribosomal RNA (425 nucleotides) under uncultured eukaryote. Its description in RNAcentral is "bacterial SSU rRNA". It matches the Rfam family "Eukaryotic small subunit ribosomal RNA", at positions 1214 to 1650 of the family's 1831-position model. The record is from RNAcentral.